AGCCUUUGGAAAGGAUUAAAGGUUAUACCUGCCCAAUGUUAUAUUAAUGGCCGCGGUACUUUGACCGUGCUAAGGUAGCACAAUCAAUUGGCCCUUAAUUAGGGUCAGGUAUGAAUGGAGUUACGGGGCUUAGCUGUCUCUAGACUAUUUAAUUGAAGUUGCUAUAUAGGUGAAAAAGCCUGUAUUAAGAAAAAAGACGAGAAGACCCUUAGAGUUUUACUUAAAAAAGAGUUAUUUCUUCACUAGUUUUGUUGGGGCAACAUAGGAGAAGAACUAAACCUCCUAAAGGAUAUAAACCGAUGUUUUUAAAUGUGAAUAAACUACCUUAGGGAUAACAGCAUAAUUUUAAAAAUAAGUUUGUGACCUCGAUGUUGGACUAGGAAACUUAAGGGCUAGCCGCCUUUUGGUAAGGU
This 413-nucleotide ribosomal RNA is filed under the name Chromodoris magnifica. RNAcentral's name for it is "partial large subunit ribosomal RNA". It matches the Rfam family "Bacterial large subunit ribosomal RNA", at positions 1817 to 2577 of the family's 2925-position model. Lineage: Eukaryota; Metazoa; Mollusca; Gastropoda; Nudibranchia; Chromodorididae. The record is from RNAcentral.